GAGGAGGGGUAUUGCGUGGGUUCUGCAGGCGUCGAAGAGGAGGAGCGAGCUGGUGGAUAUGCUUUCCACAUGUGCUUAUGCGAAAGAGCUGGAACGUCGACACUUCACAAGACAACGAGAAUUAGGCCUUUGUGGGUAUGGCAUCUGUGUUGAGUGUUGGUAUGAUCGGAGUGGGUCUAUGGCUGUCUGAACAGUGGAGUUUUCAGUGGACUUGAAUACUUGCUGGUAUUGCCAUUGACGCAGAUGCUACGGCUACAGAUAGGAUCCUGAUAUGCGUGAUUGUGGUGCUGAUUUUGUGAGAGUGAGGAGCUAAAAUGGGUGAGAGAUCGAAAUGGGAAAGGGCUGUGAAACGGGUAGUUUCCUGAUGAGGGGUGAGUAAAAGGAGGAGAGCGAAAGGU
Molecule: unclassified non-coding RNA, 398 nt
Filed under: Hevea brasiliensis (rubber tree)
Lineage: Eukaryota; Viridiplantae; Streptophyta; Magnoliopsida; Malpighiales; Euphorbiaceae
Source: RNAcentral